UUUUUUAAAACUGUUUCACAAAAAUGUAUUAAUUGCUUUUAUAUUCUCUUUGCUUGUUUUUUCUUUCCAUGCUGCCCAUUGUUCUCAUCCACCACCAAUCUUAAGUGAAAAAAAGAAGAAAGUGAAACCACCCAGGACUUUGAUCGCUGAAGAUGGGAAAGCCCUAAAUGUGAAUGAGCCCAAAAUUGACUUCUCUUUGAAAGAUAAUGAAAAGCAGAUCAUCCUGGACCUUGCUGUCUAUAGGUAUAUGGAUACCUCUUUAAUCGAUGUUGAUGUGCAACCAACUUACGUGCGAGUAAUGAUCAAAGGAAAGCCAUUUCAGCUUGUCCUUCCUGCAGAAGUGAAACCCGAUAGCAGUUCUGCUAAAAGAUCUCAGACAACGGGUCAUUUGGUCAUCUGCAUGCCCAAGGUAGGAGAAGUAAUCACAGGUGGUCGGCGAGCAUUCAAAUCUAUGAAAACUACCUCGGACAGGAGCAGAGAACAAACAAAUACAAGAAGCAAGCACAUGGAGAAACUAGAAGUAGACCCUAGCAAGCACUCAUUCCCUGAUG
This 551-nucleotide small RNA is filed under the name Pan troglodytes (chimpanzee). Its description in RNAcentral is "retained intron". Lineage: Eukaryota; Metazoa; Chordata; Mammalia; Primates; Hominidae. The record is from RNAcentral.